Molecule: ribosomal RNA, 462 nt
Filed under: uncultured ammonia-oxidizing beta proteobacterium
Lineage: Bacteria; Pseudomonadati; Pseudomonadota; Betaproteobacteria
Description: bacterial SSU rRNA
Rfam family: Bacterial small subunit ribosomal RNA
Source: RNAcentral
AAGUAGGGGAUCGCAAGACCUUGCGCUUUUGGAGCGGCCGAUGCCUGAUUAGCUAGUUGGUGGGGUAAGGGCUUACCAAGGCGACGAUCAGUAGUUGGUCUGAGAGGACGACCAGCCACACUGGGACUGAGACACGGCCCAGACUCCUACGGGAGGCAGCAGUGGGGAAUUUUGGACAAUGGGCGCAAGCCUGAUCCAGCAAUGCCGCGUGAGUGAAGAAGGCCUUCGGGUUGUAAAGCUCUUUCAGUCGAGAAGAAAAGGUUGUGGUGAAUAAUCACAACUCAUGACGGUAUCGACAGAAGAAGCACCGGCUAACUACGUGCCAGCAGCCGCGGUAAUACGUAGGGUGCGAGCGUUAAUCGGAAUUACUGGGCGUAAAGGGUGCGCAGGCGGCUUUGUAAGUCAGAUGUGAAAUCCCCGGGCUUAACCUGGGAAUUGCGUUUGAAACUACAAAGCUAGAGU